GCUCCGGUCGUAUAGCCUGGUAAGUAUCCUGGCCUUUCGAGCCAGGGGUCGCGGGUUCAAAUCCCGCCCGGAGCA
This 75-nucleotide transfer RNA is filed under the name Candidatus Bathyarchaeota archaeon. Its description in RNAcentral is "tRNA-Glu". It matches the Rfam family "tRNA". From Rfam's summary of the family: Transfer RNA (tRNA) molecules are approximately 80 nucleotides in length. Their secondary structure includes four short double-helical elements and three loops (D, anti-codon, and T loops). Further hydrogen bonds mediate the characteristic L-shaped molecular structure. tRNAs have two regions of fundamental functional importance: the anti-codon, which is responsible for specific mRNA codon recognition, and the 3' end, to which the tRNAs corresponding amino acid is attached (by aminoacyl-tRNA synthetases). tRNAs cope with the degeneracy of the genetic code in two manners: having more than one tRNA (with a specific anti-codon) for a particular amino acid; and 'wobble' base-pairing, i.e. permitting non-standard base-pairing at the 3rd anti-codon position. The record is from RNAcentral. RNAcentral also lists the same sequence under 1 other name. Lineage: Archaea; Thermoproteati; Candidatus Bathyarchaeota.